This is a non-coding RNA of Ornithorhynchus anatinus (platypus), 104 nucleotides long. NCBI's taxonomy places the organism in Eukaryota, Metazoa, Chordata, Mammalia, Monotremata, Ornithorhynchidae. The record is from Rfam.
GUGCUCACUUCGGCAGCACAUAUACUAAGAUUGGAACGAUACAGAGAUUAACACGGCCCCCGCAGAGUGAUGACACACAAAUUCGCGAAGCGUUCUACAUUUUU